AUUGAACGCUGGCGGCAUGCCUUACACAUGCAAGUCGAACGGUAACAGGUCUUCGGAUGCUGACGAGUGGCGAACGGGUGCGUAAUACAUCGGAACGUGCCCGAUCGUGGGGGAUAACGAAGCGAAAGCUUUGCUAAUACCGCAUAAGAUCUACGGAUGAAAGCAGGGGACCGCAAGGCCUUGCGCGAACGGAGCGGCCGAUGGCAGAUUAGGUAGUUGGUGGGAUAAAAGCUUACCAAGCCGACGAUCUGUAGCUGGUCUGAGAGGACGACCAGCCACACUGGGACUGAGACACGGCCCAGACUCCUACGGGAGGCAGCAGUGGGGAAUUUUGGACAAUGGGCGAAAGCGUGAUCCAGCCAUGCCGCGUGCAGGAUGAAGGCCUGCGGGUUGUAAACUGCUUUUGUACGGAACGAAAAGACUCUGGUUAAUACCUGGGGUCCAGGACGGUACCGUAAGAAUAAGCACCGGCUAACUACGU
Molecule: ribosomal RNA, 481 nt
Filed under: uncultured bacterium
Lineage: Bacteria
Description: partial 16S ribosomal RNA
Rfam family: Bacterial small subunit ribosomal RNA
Source: RNAcentral